Molecule: ribosomal RNA, 253 nt
Filed under: uncultured bacterium
Lineage: Bacteria
Description: partial 16S ribosomal RNA
Rfam family: Bacterial small subunit ribosomal RNA
Source: RNAcentral
UACGUAGGGGGCAAGCGUUGUCCGGAAUUAUUGGGCGUAAAGAGCGUGUAGGCGGUCCGGUAAGUCAGCUGUGAAAGUCAAGGGCUCAACCCUUGAAAGCCGGUUGAUACUGUCGGGCUAGAGUCCGGAAGAGGCGAGUGGAAUUCCCGGUGUAGCGGUGAAAUGCGCAGAUAUCGGGAGGAACACCAAUGGCGAAGGCAGCUCGCUGGGACGGUACUGACGCUGAUGCGCGAAGGCCAGGGGAGCGAACGGG